This 67-nucleotide transfer RNA is filed under the name Marmota monax (woodchuck). RNAcentral's name for it is "tRNA.Val". Lineage: Eukaryota; Metazoa; Chordata; Mammalia; Rodentia; Sciuridae. The record is from RNAcentral.
GGAUUGUGGCUCAGUGGUAGAACGCUCCCCUCACACCAGCGGGACCUGGGUUCAAUCCUCAGCACCA